UGUAAGCGUAUACCAAAGUUGUUGCAGUUAAAACGCUCGUAGUCGGAAUUUGGCAGUUCCGGAUGUGUGCACGUCGUGUGCGCACUUCGCGGGGAUUGCUUUUGUGGUCUUGCGUAGGAUGAGGCACUUUUAUUAGUGAACGUCCUCACGCAACCACUUUUUACUGUGAGAAAAUCAGAGUGCUCAAAGCAGGCAUUUGCCGUGAAUGUAUUAGCACGGAAUAAUAGAAUAGGACUUGGUUCUAUUUUGUUGGUUUGUUGGGACUGAGUAAUGAUUAAGAGGGACAGUUGGGGGCAUUUGUAUUUCGGUGCUAGAGGUGAAAUUCUUAGAUUACCGAAAGACAAACUGCUGCGAAAGCGUCUGCCAAGGAUGUUUUCAUUGA
Molecule: ribosomal RNA, 382 nt
Filed under: uncultured eukaryote
Lineage: Eukaryota
Description: partial 18S ribosomal RNA
Rfam family: Eukaryotic small subunit ribosomal RNA
Source: RNAcentral